AACGCUAGCUACAGGCUUAACACAUGCAAGUCGAGGGGAAACGACAUCGAAAGCUUGCUUUUGAUGGGCGUCGACCGGCGCACGGGUGAGUAACGCGUAUCCAACCUUCCCCUGUCCACGGGAUAGCCCGUCGAAAGGCGGAUUAAUGCCGUAUGAGGUUCCAGAGUAGCAUUAUUAUGGAACGAAAGGAUUGGCGGUUAUGGAUGGGGAUGCGUCCGAUUAGCUUGUUGGCGGGGUAACGGCCCACCAAGGCGACGAUCGGUAGGGGUUCUGAGAGGAAGGUCCCCCACACUGGAACUGAGACACGGUCCAGACUCCUACGGGAGGCAGCAGUGAGGAAUAUUGGUCAAUGGGCGGAAGCCUGAACCAGCCAAGUAGCGUGCAGGAUGACGGCCCUAUGGGUUGUAAACUGCCUUUUCGCGGGGAUAAAGAGGGGGAUGUGUCCCCCGUUGCAGGUACCGCGUGAAUAAGGACCGGCUAAUUCCGUGCCAGCAGCCGCGGUAAUACGGAAGGUCCGGGCGUUAUCCGGAUUUAUUGGGUUUAAAGGGAGCGCAGGCCGUAUGGUAAGCGUGUUGUGAAAUGCCGCGGCUCAACCAUGGCACUGCAGCGCGAACUGCCGUACUUGAGUACGCUGGAGGUAGGCGGAAUUCGUGGUGUAGCGGUGAAAUGCUUAGAUAUCACGAAGAACUCCGAUUG
This 696-nucleotide ribosomal RNA is filed under the name uncultured bacterium. RNAcentral describes it as "bacterial SSU rRNA". It matches the Rfam family "Bacterial small subunit ribosomal RNA", at positions 32 to 715 of the family's 1533-position model. The record is from RNAcentral.